CCUACGGGAGACAGCAGUGAGGAAUAUUGGUCAAUGGUCGGGAGACUGAACCAGCCAAGCCGCGUGAGGGAUGAAGGUACAGAGUAUCGUAAACCUCUUUUGUCAGGGAACAAAGGCGGGGACACGUCCCCGGAUGAGUGUACCUGAAGAAAAAGCAUCGGCUAACUCCGUGCCAGCAGCCGCGGUAAUACGGAGGAUGCGAGCGUUAUCCGGAUUUAUGGGGUUAAAAGGGUGCGCAGGCGGUCUGUUAAGUCAGCGGUCAAAGCCCGGGGCUCAACCCCGGCCCGCCGUUGAAACUGGCAGUCUCGAGUUGGAGAGAAGUAUGCGGAAGGCGCGGUGUAGCGGUGAAAUGCAUAGAUAUCGCGCAGAACUCCGAUUGCGAAGGCAGCAUGCCGGCUCCACACUGACGCUGAGGCACGAAAGCGUGGGUAUCGAACGGGAUUAGAUACCCUUGUAGUC
Molecule: ribosomal RNA, 459 nt
Filed under: uncultured bacterium
Lineage: Bacteria
Description: partial 16S ribosomal RNA
Rfam family: Bacterial small subunit ribosomal RNA
Source: RNAcentral